UGCCGCCGCGUCGUCCUCCAGCGCGGGUGGUGAAAACCUAGCCAGGGUGGGAGGCGGCGUGGCUGCAGCGCGGCGGGGAGGGCCCCGCCGGUCGCCUUCUGCAGCCGCGUAUCCGUCAGUUCCCGUCGCCGUCACUGGGGCGCCGUGCGGCUCCAGUCUGGGGCGGAAGCUGCGGCCGUCGCGGCGGCCGGAUCCGCGUCCCGCCUCAACGCCCGGAGGACAUGAGGGAGAGAGAAUGAGCCAGAGGGACACGCUGGUGCAUCUGUUUGCCGGAGGAUGUGGUGGUACGGUGGGAGCUAUUCUGACAUGUCCACUGGAAGUUGUAAAAACACGGCUGCAGUCAUCUUCUGUGACACUUUAUAUCUCUGAAGUUCAGCUGAACACCAUGACUGGAGCCAGUGUCAAUCGAGUAGUGUCUCCUGGACCUCUCCAUUGUCUAAAGGUGAUCUUGGAAAAAGAAGGGCCUCGUUCCCUGUUUAGAGGAUUAGGCCCCAAUUUAGUGGGGGUGGCCCCUUCCAGAGCAAUAUACUUUGCUGCUUAUUCAAACUGCAAGGAAAAGUUGAAUGGUUUAUUUGAUCCUGAUUCUACCCAGGUACACAUGAUUUCAGCUGCAAUGGCAGGCAUUUACUGUACAUUUCUCCCGAGAAAAGAGUGAGAUCGUGUCAUCUCAUGCUCCCCAUCCGCAGGUCACUUCCUGUAGAAAUAUGGACUAACUUAAACCUCGUUUUACCGCAAUCACAGCGACCAACCCCAUUUGGCUUAUAAAGACUCGGUUACAGCUUGAUGCAAGGAACCGUGGGGAAAAGCGAAUGGGUGCUUUUGAGUGUGUCCGUAAAGUGUAUCAGACAGAUGGACUUAGAGGAUUUUAUAGGGGCAUGUCUGCUUCAUAUGCUGGCAUAUCAGAGACUGUUAUCCAUUUUGUUAUUUAUGAAAGUAUUAAGCAAAAACUACUGGAAUAUAAGAUUGCUUCUACAAUGGAAAAUGAAGAAGAGUCUGUAAAAGAAGCAUCAGAUUUUGUGGGAAUGAUGCUAGCUGCUGCCACCUCAAAAACGUGUGCCACAACUAUAGCAUAUCCACAUGAAGUUGUAAGAACAAGACUGCGUGAGGAGGGAACAAAAUAUAGAUCCUUUUUUCAGACACUAUCUUUGCUUGUUCAAGAAGAAGGCUAUGGGUCUCUUUACCGUGGUCUGACAACUCAUCUGGUGAGACAGAUUCCAAACACAGCCAUUAUGAUGGCCACCUAUGAAUUAGUGGUCUACCUGCUCAACGGAUAGCACCACCAGGCUGCUGUACUAUAAAGAGGGAAGACCAAAAGAUAGAGUGGACCAUGGAGUACCGAAGCCAGCUUGGUGGACAGAAGGAAAAUAGUGUGGGAACAUGGAACUAUACCUAAGUGGAAGUUUGGUUGUAGGAAUUAAAGUAAUCAUAACCACAUUACUUAGUCUUUUUAGUAAUGUGAAAAAAAACCUUGGCUGCCUCCAAGAAAAAGCCUUUAGAAGCGCUCCUUCUUCAAAAUUGCCAUUUUCUCUACCAUGUCCACAGGACACAGCUGGCAUUUUGUUGAUUUAUGGCAAUCAGAGUAUAGUGUUUAUUCCAUGAGCACUUUUCCAGUCUUCUAGACAAAGCCAUCUGUAACUGUAUAACUAUCCAGAGAUAGUAUUGACAGUCAUAAAUUUCUAACUUCUGUAUAAUUCCUAUAAAAUUGAAAAAUAACAAUGAUAGUAGUAUUUUCACAUUUCCUUGAGAGGAGCUGGCACUAUAUUUUAAAGUUAAUCAUUUGGCAUUAGUAGUCACUGUUUUUGAUGACAAAUGAAGUAGGUCUAAACAUGUGUUUAUUUUUAGCUUUAAAAUGUUUUGGUUUCCACUGCUCACAGGUGCUUUAUGUUUAGCAUAAUGUGAACACUUAAAUUGUUAAUGUAUCAAAUGGUAAUAGUUUGGGACACAAUAAACCAGUAAAAUGUUGAUUCUUGGCCAUUUCAGUGACUUGAGCAUGUCCUCUUAUCUUUUCUAACCUAAUGAUACAUGAAUGAAUGCAAUGUCUUUGCAGUGACUUAAUAAUUAUGAACUUGAAUUAUCCCCUGUCAUACCUAGGUAUCAUUUUCUUAAAGUGGAAAACAUUUACUGCUUCUGAAUCUUUCUCAAUUUGGUUUCACAUUAAGAAUUUGAACCUUUGAAUUAUUUCCAGAAGCUCUGCAUACAUUGCAUUUAUUUAGUAGAGAAAAUGGUAAUUUUCAGCUUUGCCCUUACAAGGUGUUUUCUUUUUUUAAGGUGACGUUAUAAAUACCUGGGGCAGCAUAAACAUUAUAGAAGAAGGGCCCUCUGCAAUCUGAUUGGGCAGGUAGUUAUCCUAAUUAACUUACAGUUUUAUAAAUGAACAAACUGCUUUGGACAAGGAAUUUAUUCCAUCCUAAUUUCUUGAAUGGUAAAUCAUAGAAAGAUUCAAGUUAAUUCAGAUUAAGCGUGUUAACAGGAUAUAGCUUUUACAUUUUGCUGUUGAGUUCAACUGCACCUUUUAAAUACUUUAAAUGUAUUAUAUGUAUGGCCCUUAUGAAGAUAUUUGCUGUAAUUCUAUUAAAAGACUUUCGCUUAUGGAUGUUGCUAUACUGGUGUAUGAAAUUUAUACAAUUAAACUCCAGUGUGGUAGUCAUUUCAGUAUACAUGAACUGUACAUUUUGUGCAAUGGCUUUAUCUUAAGAAUGACUUGUGAAUGCACUUUGUGGCCUUCUCGGGGGGGAGGGUGAGAGUAGGAGAGAAUUCCCAUGUUAAGAUUACUUUUUUUAAGUAUUGGUUAUGUAUUAGGCAGAAACAGUGUUCAUAACAUUUUUCUGGGAUUUAGGUAUAUUUUGGAGAUCUUUACUAUAAAUGUUUUAAGUAUUCUUAUGUACACUGUAGUGCCCCUAACAUAUAAAAAAUCAUAGCAUGUCAUUGCAAGCUUUCUCCACUGUCACCAGUGAGACACAGUGCCCUCUUAAAUUCCUACACCUUAACUUCCUCGUAAUCAACAGUAACUGGAUGUUUUUGAGGUGCUUCGAUUGGAAUUUAAAGUAUUCCAAUCUAUUUGGAGACCAAAGGCAAAUUCAGUUUCAUUACCUUUGGGAUUAUUCUUACCUUUUAUGGUCAAUUUCAGCUUUGACAUUUAUUGUGAGGAACAUGCCCCCCCACCCCCCCAAAAAAAACAGUAAUGGGGUUUCGAACUUAAAUCUGUAAAAGUGUCAAUAUAUAGUGUGUUCAUUUUCAUGUGCCACUUAUACUGCCUAAUACAGUGCCAUUUGCCUUGUGAAGAUCUGUAAACAUUAGUUGUAUUGAAUGUCAGACAGAGACUCUCUAAUCUUAGUGAUCUGAAUACCCCACAAAUGAUUAAGAAUGAUAUAAAAACCAGCAGCUAAGGAACAUCUUAUUUAGUUGUAGCAAAUUCAUAACAAGUGUCCUUCAAGGAUGAACUCGUAUUCUAUUCCUGUUUGUAUUUGUAUUGACCCUUUAGUGCAUUUUUUUCAGCUUUUAAAAGUGAGUAUAUUUAUGUGCUGGAAGGAAAAGAUCUUAGAGUCUCAGACUUUGUUUCUUUGUGCGACAGCUGGAAAGGAGCAAUGAAGUUUAUUUUGUUUCUUCCCCCCAAAGUACACUCUGCCGUAGUUUAUGUAUGACAAAGAUAAUUUAAAAAGAAAACUUUAUAUAAAAAUUGUACAUAAAGUUUGUCUUUGAAACAUUUCUUUGGAGAUUUUUUUUUUAAUUGAUGCAAACGUUUAAAAAAAAAAAACUUAAAAAGCAUUGGACUUUUUUUUUAAACUGUGUUUUAUUUUCAUCCGUUUUCUCUCAGAUAGCUUUUUAUUUCUAGUGUAGAGGUAGUCGGCACUCUUCAAAUUGGUAUGUACUUUUAUUGGAGAAUCGUCUCAGAAAAUUGAACUUUUCAGGUUAAAGCGGUACAUACUGAAAGAACAUACUCAUAGAGCAGCAGACCAGAACUCUGGUACUUGUGGCUCACAGAAACAGUUUACUAGAUUUCAAAGUCAAAAAUCUGAGAAUGACCAACCUGUGAUUGUGGGGUACCACACAGUGCUUUUAAAUCCAGGGAAAAAACUGUAUCACCAAAGCUUUUGUCUUGGUUUUCCUUAUGUAUGUAAUUUCGUGGAACCAAUCUUACUAGAUGGGACCCGCAAGCAAUUGAUUUUUUAACUCUGACACCAAGAGAGAAUAUCAUUACAUUAUUUAAUCCAGCCUUUUGUCUCCUAAAACCAAAUGCCCAUUGUGGAAUAGCAUUAUUCUGUUAGGACCAGCUGAGUGUGGGUUGUUAAGAAUAAUGAGUGUUUACCCUUUUACUGGAGUAUAAAUAUGUCAGCAUUUUUAGAUUUUGUUUUCGAUCACUAAAAAUACUGAUAUGAUCUUGAAGGACUGAAGUGCUAGGAAUCCAUUUGUCCUUUACGCUUCCAGCAUUGUCCGUGCUGUCUUUGGUUGUUUACAUGCCCUUCUGCCUGGACUGUUAUAGCGCUAUAGGGGCCCCUCUGGGGCUGGUAGAUAAUAUUUCAGCCUUUUUCUCCUCUGGUAUUGAUCAUGACUUAACAUUCCUAAGAAUAUAGGUGUUCCUAAAUGACUUAAAUUGGAAGGGGAUUUUAACUAUAUAAAAGUAUUUAAUGUACUAACUUUCGGCCCACACAAAUCUCCAUUGUGCCCUUACAUUUCUCCAUCUACACCCUGCUUUUUAUGCUACUCCUUGUAGAAACUGAAGAUUCUAGUUUUCCUCAGUUUUUGUGUUAAUAAAUAUUUUGAAUGUGUACCCCUGCAUAUGUGAACCAUUAAAUUAUGACCUGUCAGUCGUAGCUAAAUAAUCAACUUCAAAGAGUUGAUAUCCUUUGACCAUUUAUGUGAGGUUUGCUAUUGAAUUCCUGUAUGUGGCUGUAAAUUAUGUGCAUUUACUCUGUAUUUAUGUUAACUAGCUGAAUUUUAUUUGAAUUGUUAAAAUUCCAAAAAUUAAAAUAUGCGUAUGAAAAUCUGA
Balaenoptera musculus (blue whale) is the source of this 4987-nucleotide RNA transcript. It is a transcript of the gene named solute carrier family 25 member 36, with no coding region annotated. The record is from RefSeq and is a predicted model, not a curated record. Lineage: Eukaryota; Metazoa; Chordata; Mammalia; Artiodactyla; Balaenopteridae. The transcript has 8 exons.